CUUUCACUAAGGGGGUGCCUUAACAUGACAGGCUGAGAUUAUACCCUUAGCACCUGAUCCGGGUAAUGCCGGCGAAGGGAAUUGGUGGCCACCGCCCA
Molecule: non-coding RNA, 98 nt
Filed under: Bacteroidota bacterium
Lineage: Bacteria; Pseudomonadati; Bacteroidota
Description: Bacteroidetes bacterium TPP sequence
Rfam family: TPP riboswitch aptamer (THI element)
About the family: Vitamin B(1) in its active form thiamin pyrophosphate (TPP) is an essential coenzyme that is synthesised by coupling of pyrimidine and thiazole moieties in bacteria. The previously detected thiamin-regulatory element, thi box was extended, resulting in a new, highly conserved RNA secondary structure, the THI element, which is widely distributed in eubacteria and also occurs in some archaea.
Source: RNAcentral